UUUGAAUUGUGUUAGUAAAUGAACAUUCAUCUAGACAUAGAGUUUUGUUUAGGAAUGUGUCUAAGCUUAAGGUUGGUAGUUGAUUGAUCGUUUGCCAUCCUUAGUUCGAAACUUGAUCACCCGAGGUCUAAUCCCUAUAUCCAUGAGUUCUCUUUUCUCAUAGUUAAGAAAGUAUCAUUUAGUUAUUCCUUUUAGUUAGUUAUAGUUCAAAAACCCUUUUAAAAACCAUUGGUUGCACUUAGAUUAAGUGAUUACUUGCAUUCUCAG
RNAcentral lists this long non-coding RNA (267 nucleotides) under Brassica napus (rape). Its description in RNAcentral is "long non-coding RNA (BNAP_LNC014055)". The record is from RNAcentral. Lineage: Eukaryota; Viridiplantae; Streptophyta; Magnoliopsida; Brassicales; Brassicaceae.